This 482-nucleotide ribosomal RNA is filed under the name uncultured bacterium. Its description in RNAcentral is "partial 16S ribosomal RNA". It matches the Rfam family "Bacterial small subunit ribosomal RNA", at positions 30 to 507 of the family's 1533-position model. The record is from RNAcentral.
AUUGAACGCUGGCGGCAUGCUUUACACAUGCAAGUCGAACGGUAACAGGCCGCAAGGUGCUGACGAGUGGCGGACGGGUGAGUAAUGCAUCGGAACGUGCCCAGUCGUGGGGGAUAACUACUCGAAAGAGUAGCUAAUACCGCAUACGAUCUAUGGAUGAAAGCGGGGGACCGUAAGGCCUCGCGCGAUUGGAGCGGCCGAUGUCAGAUUAGGUAGUUGGUGGGGUAAAGGCUCACCAAGCCAACGAUCUGUAGCUGGUCUGAGAGGACGACCAGCCACACUGGGACUGAGACACGGCCCAGACUCCUACGGGAGGCAGCAGUGGGGAAUGUUGGACAAUGGGCGCAAGCCUGAUCCAGCAAUGCCGCGUGCGGGAAGAAGGCCUUCGGGUUGUAAACUGCUUUUGUACGGAACGAAACGGCUCUGGUUAAUACCCGGGGCUAAUGACGGUACCGUAAGAAUAAGCACCGGCUAACUACGUG